AGACGUCUACAUUAGAUACCCCCGUAGUCCCAGCCGUAAACUAUGCGCGUUAGGUGUAUCGGUGACCACGAGUUACCGAGGUGCCGAAGGGAAACCGUGAAACGUGCCGCCUGGGAAGUACGGUCGCAAGGCUGAAACUUAAAGGAAUUGGCGGGGAGCACCACAACGGGUGGAGCCUGCGGUUUAAUUGGAUUCAACGCCGGACAUCUCACCGGAUAAGACAGCUGAAUGAUUGUCAAUCUGAAGGUUUUACAUGACUAGCUG
Molecule: ribosomal RNA, 264 nt
Filed under: uncultured archaeon
Lineage: Archaea
Description: partial 16S ribosomal RNA
Rfam family: Archaeal small subunit ribosomal RNA
Source: RNAcentral